UGGGGAAUUUUGGACAAUGGGGGCAACCCUGAUCCAGCAACGCCGCGUGAGUGAAGAAGGCCUUCGGGUUGUAAAGCUCUUUUGUCAGGGAAGAAACGGUAGUAGCGAAUAACUAUUACUAAUGACGGUACCUGAAGAAUAAGCACCGGCUAACUACGUGCCAGCAGCCGCGGUAAUACGUAGGGUGCAAGCGUUAAUCGGAAUUACUGGGCGUAAAGCGUGCGCAGGCGGUUGUGUAAGUCAGAUGUGAAAUCCCCGGGCUCAACCUGGGAAUUGCAUUUGAGACUGCACGGCUAGAGUGUGUCAGAGGGGGGUAGAAUUCCACGUGUAGCAGUGAAAUGCGUAGAUAUGUGGAGGAAUACCGAUGGCGAAGGCAGCCCCCUGGGAUAACACUGACGGUCAAGGACGAAAGUAUGGGGAGCGAACGGGAUUAGAUACCCCGGUAGUCCCUGAGCGGGCUGGCAAGGCGCAU
Molecule: ribosomal RNA, 472 nt
Filed under: uncultured bacterium
Lineage: Bacteria
Description: bacterial SSU rRNA
Rfam family: Bacterial small subunit ribosomal RNA
Source: RNAcentral